UAUUGCAAAAUGUAAUUUUGAAUCUUGGAUUGCCAAUUUUUAAACUAUCCCCUUUGUGGCUCUUCCAUUCUACGCGACAUUGGCGAAGUGCAUUGUGCUAGUGUGGCACUACUAAAAGCCAUUAGUUCAUUAGUUAUAUAUGAAGAAGAACAGUUUGACAACAGUUUGGCACUUGAAUGACAUUGACAGUUGGGCGUAAUUGUAGAACAUAGGCUGCCAGCAAUUAGAAUCUUCUCAAGUUUAGGGAAUAUGUUGAAAAUGUUAAUGUUGAAAAUCGAGGAAAGGGUCUAGCCGGAUAAGCAUAGCGAAUCGGCCCCCAAAUGACAACCUAUAUCGAAACUUAGGUAUUAAUAUCGCCUUGAUGUAUGAACAUGAUUUAUAUAAGUUUCGCCUCCCUACUCCGCUUUGACCUUGAGAUAUUAAAAAAAUUAGCUUGUAAACAGUGAAUAAGGGUAACGGGCUAAAAGAUAAUACAUGCUGAUAUGGAGACUGGAGAUUUUUCCCCUGAAUCCUGGUGUAACAACAUGAAUCGUGCUUAAAGCUCAGAUAUGCCAGUUUGUGGUGUUUGGAGCUUUUACUAAGUAGUUAAAUUAAUUAAUUUCAUUUGUAUUGAUGUAGUAUACACAUUAAUUAUUCUAAAUGAUAUUUAUUUGAAAUUUGUGUUUAUACCUCAGGUGAUAAAUACCUAACUAUUGUCUUUAGUUACUGAAUGAAGUCUUAUAAUAAUUAUAAAUAUAAACCAUUUUCUGUGUU
Molecule: long non-coding RNA, 753 nt
Organism: Maniola jurtina (meadow brown)
Lineage: Eukaryota; Metazoa; Arthropoda; Insecta; Lepidoptera; Nymphalidae
Exons: 2
Source: RefSeq, a predicted model, not a curated record